UUAUCAGUGGGGUCCUAAUGCCUGUUGGCUGAAUCUUGUAGCCGUAAGCCUAGCAACGUGAUGGCGGCGCCCGCAAGAGCGCAGGUGAUCUCUUUGUACAGGAUGCUCUUAAGAGAAAGUUUUAAAUUCCCUUCAUACAAUUACAGGAAAUACGCAGUGCGGCGUGUACGCGACGCUUUCAGGGUCAACAAGAAUGUGAAUGAGCCAAAGUUGGUGGAGAGGCUGAUGCUGGAGGGCCGCCAGUCACUGGCCAUGAUACAGAGACAGGUGGCCGUGGGCGCUAUGUUCCAGGCCCAGAAGACUGUGGUGGAGUUCGAGUAGUAGCAAGAGGAGGAAGUCACAUCACAUCGGCCAAUCAGCUUCCAGCUUGUGAGGUGGGCGGGGCAUCAUGGGAGGUUAUGCACUCUUUGGAUGUUUCAUCACGAAACUCAAAUAAAAACGCGUUGACUCGUUCCAGCGUCACGGUGGCCACGUUGGAGCCAGUGGGAAAGAGGCCACGCCUCCUGCACCAUUUCAAGUGUGACAUCACAGACAAUAUCAAGAGCAAAUUGCAUCCAUCCCUUGGUCCCACGGCAGCA
This is an RNA transcript of Syngnathus acus (greater pipefish), 578 nucleotides long. It is a transcript of the gene named LYR motif-containing protein 4B, with no coding region annotated. The transcript has 4 exons. The record is from RefSeq and is a predicted model, not a curated record. Lineage: Eukaryota; Metazoa; Chordata; Actinopteri; Syngnathiformes; Syngnathidae.